This 76-nucleotide transfer RNA is filed under the name Methanosaeta sp. PtaB.Bin087. RNAcentral describes it as "tRNA-Thr". It matches the Rfam family "tRNA". From Rfam's summary of the family: Transfer RNA (tRNA) molecules are approximately 80 nucleotides in length. Lineage: Archaea; Methanobacteriati; Methanobacteriota; Methanomicrobia; Methanotrichales; Methanotrichaceae. The record is from RNAcentral. RNAcentral also lists the same sequence under 1 other name.
GGCCUCGGUGGCUCAGCUGGCUAGAGCGAGUGACUUGUAAUCACUAGGUCGCGUGUUCGAAUCACGCCCGGGGCUU